UGUGUGUGACUGACAGCGCGGCGGGCACAGCCGCCCCGGGCGGGGGGGGGGCCACGGCCGCGGCAGCCCCGUCUCCGUCCCCCGGAGCCCUCUCCCCGGCGGGGGCGACCUCAGCGGCCUCGCUGCUCCUCCUCCUCCUCCUCCUCCUCCCUCCUGGCGGGUAGGUUACGUUACCUGGUCUCUAGCUCGGGCCGGAUCUAAUCCCGCGGCCGCCGGCGGCGGCGGCUCCCGGUCCCUGCCGCGGGGGGGUGAGAGCUUUAUGAAUCGGAUCUUUACAGAUGUGUUAGGAACUGUGACUGCCUGCGUAUGGACAGGAGGAGAGAGAACUUGGGUUGUGGUUGGGGACAUUCCAGUUUCCUGAGCUGCUAGCGAAGGAGGGGAGGACUCGAUAGAAUUGUCUGUUUAUUUUCCAUCAAUAACAUUUGAAUCCCUUAGCUAGCGUCAGCCACAAUGAACAAAGAUUUUUGAAAAAUAAUCUGGAGAGGAGCAUGGCACCCCUCAAAAAAGCUGCAGCGUGAGUGGCAAUACCUAUUACACAUCAAAGAAUCCAUCCACAGAGAACUGCCAUCUUGAAGCACAAAAUUCAUAUAAAUCAGAUUUUCUUUGGCUCCGUUGCUUAUGAAUCUGUUUGCUUUUAUGUGAGGAAUUCUUCUGUCAUUCUACUAAUCUAAUUCUGCAAUCAUUAAACGGGAAGAUGCAGACCCAGAAAUCUCAGUAAUGUAACAUUUUAUCAUUCCUUCUUUCUUGAGGAUAUUAUUGUUGCAAUUUAUGUAUCAUCUGCUUCCACUGCAAGUUCUUCAGAUUCGCUUUGUCAGGUGUUUGUAAAGCAGCCAGGUCGCUGCAGUCUCUGGGCAGUUUCUGGGACAGUAGUCCUAAGGAGCAGUGAGUAGUUCACUGGCAGACACAGCAAAUGCUUUUAUUCCUGGAACAGGAAGGAACAGUUUGGAGUCAUUUUUGUGACAUCCCAUAACCCAAGUAACACUUGAGUUGGGUACCUGAGUCCAGGGACAUUUUUAGGAGCAGACGUCCAUGGCGACUGCCAGGGCGGCUGGUGGAAGUCGCAGUUGCAUUAAUUCAGGUAGCGGUGCCAGUCCUCUCUUGUGCAAGCGCGUGAAAGGAGCCUGUGCCCAGCAUCCCCGCGGUGACGGGGUCUGUCCCGGCAGCGGGUUGCACCACGGGCUUUGGGAGACCAAGGAGCACCGAGGAGGGGCCCACCGAGCCAAGCGGAGGGACGAGCAAACACUAAGCAGCGACUGUUGGGCAUACAAGCACAGGAGCCUUGGGUACAGACGCCCAUGGGCAAACUCACUGUCACUUCCAGGCCGGCCCACACACAAUUACGGGAUUAAAAAUGUGUCAAUUACGAUGAAAUCUGAUGUAAGAUCUUUCAUAGAGAAGCUGCUAGUGCUGAAAUCAAAGUUGUAGACUUGGCAUUACAGCAGUGUUAGGCUCUCUUCCACAUUCAAACACUUUGCAUGCCCUGGAGAAAAUCAUAGGCUGUAUGGGACCUCAUACGGUUCCUGUAAAGUGCCAAGACAUUGGCUACAUUGUCUUUUACAGUGAAAUACUACGGUUUACCUACUGGUUUGUAGAAUGUUAGGAAAGUGAUUUUCAAAGGGAGCUGAAAAAUAAAUACAUGAAGAUAGAAAUGGUAACUGUUUUUCAUUGCAUAGUUCUGUUUCCUCCACUGAUGUACCUUAACAGGAAUAAAUAUGUAUUUAUAUAGAUAUAAAUAUAGACACUUUUUAUUUAUAAAUGUAUGCUGUAUACUAUAGACAAUAAAUUUUACACAGUGAUAGAUGUGAUAAGGUAUAUCACAUACACAGUAUUUGCUGUACUGCAUGGUACAUACUGCACGCUAUGUAUAGCACAGUGCUACAUACAGUACAAAUGGAUGUAUUCUGUGUUUAUAUAUCAUAAAUUUGUAUUUAUAUUACUGCUGCAUACAUUAACAUAUCUAUCUAGAAAUAGUAGAUUAUAUUAACAUAUGUUAACCAUUACAUAGACAUAUAUAUUUUCUGUAUAUACAUAUGUGCCUCAUGCAGUUUCUUUCUCUACCUCUUUUCAGAACACCCUCUCUAGGAAAGCUGUAUGCAUCUUAAUUGACUUACUGUUGCUGUGUGCUUCAUCGCAUUUUGCGUUUUCUACUCUGAAGGCAGAGUCUAAACAUGAGCUAGCUGCAGUUAUAACAGUGUGUGAUUCUGGCCUAUAGUCUGCACAAUUUCAGAUACAGCUUAACGUCUGCAUCCUGCUUACAGUCACAAAAAUUACGAUGAGCCCUCAGAGUAAAAGUCAAUGUAUGAUUUUAUUUUUUUAUGCUGACCUCGACUGCAGUGACGUCAGGUUUGUGAAGUGAAUGCACUCCCUUGCCAGUGCUGCAGAACGAAGGCUCUGAAGUGAUUCCGUUUCCUGUUGCAGAUUAAAAAAAAAAAAAAAAAAAACCUGUUGUCAUUCUACAUCUUUCCAGUCUCAGAGCACCUUCAAUGUAGGAAGCCCAUUAUUAGGAGUAAAAAUAUUCAUACCUACCCUCUAAGGGUAAGAAUUAAAAAUGUAUUGGUGGUAGCAAUUAAUAAUUUCCAUGUGAAUGUCAAGAAGCUAGCAAAAGUUCAGAGCUGUGUGUGCAUGUGUGUCUGUAUAUGGGGUUGUGGCAUUCUGUAUUUUUCAGUGAUCUAAUUGUAAAGAAGAAAUUAAACAAACUUAUCUAGCGUGUGUGUGAAAAGAAGUCACACAUCUGGUUAUUCAUUCUGUGUCCAUUCAAUAGUGAGAUAGACUUCUGGGAGGUCGCAUGUUACGUACUCUCCUGUUUCAGUUGGUAACAGCUUGAGGUCUUUUUAGUGAUAUUAACGGGAAAAGGUUUUAAGUAUAAUUUUUCACCAGAGAAAAAGAAAAUGCUGCAAAUGUUGAAUACCUGACGGUAUUUUCUGUGAGCCUAUCCACUAACUGUUUCGGUAAGUCUCCUACUGGAAUAGGAGUCCAUUUCCCCCAUGUGCCACUUGUCACAGAGUUUCGUUUGAACCCAAAAUUUUACAAGUCCUCUGCUAAGCUUAGAUUCUUCUGCUACAUCACAGGUUAUGUCUUCUAGUCGCAGAGCCUGGAUCUAAAGGGUGCAUCUUUAUGAUUGUGUGUCAUUCUGGCCUACAUAAGAUUGCAUUCUGAUUAUGUUUUUUUGUUCUGGAUUGAUUUCUGUUCCACAAAUACGCAACUCAAACUUCUCUCAUGUCCAUAUACAGGCUGGUGUGGUGUGCAUGCUCCUCAUCUCCAGCAAAUACACAGGGUAUUAUCAUUAAAAUUAUAUUGGUAAAUCACCUAAGCUACCUUCUGUAAGCUUUAUAUCAACAACUCAUCAUUGUCAGCCUGUGUCUCACUCCACCCUCGUUCAUACACACAGAUAGCUCUGUCGCUAGCAUAAAACUUUAAUCCUAGUUCUGUAGAGUGUAAGAGAUACGUAUACUUCAAUUUUUGUGAUAAAAUUCAUAUAAAGAUGAUGAGACUGUAGAAUUCUAACGAUAAAAUAUAGCCAAAGCAUGUCUUUCUAUUGAGGUGAGUUUUCUCUAUAAGCAUCGACCAUGUCUAUUCCAGACCCAAUAAAAUCCUUUUCUUUUACAGCUCCUGGGGACACAGAACACAGCACAUUGUAACUACAGGGAUAGACUUGACUGCGAAAGAUCUCUAUCAGGCAUCACAGAGAAUUUGAGGCAGUUGGCAGUUAUCAGCCGAAGCAGGUAGUCGGUAGAAGUGUAGAAGAUAAAUAGAUAAUAGAAAAGCAAUCUGGAAACCUGGGAGAGAUAAUAAACCUCUCUUCUAGAGGGGAGGUAACAACUCAGGUAGGUCACUGAUGAACUCAACUCCCAGAUCAGUGCUGUGUCUAAUACUGCUGAAAAUACAGUAGCAGUUCAUGCCUGUCAGCUCUGAAGUAGUAUUCAAGAUGUUGUUGGAAACGCAGUUUGACAUAUUCAGUCAUAGAAAUCACUACUGCAGUAGAGUGAGGAAGGAUCACACUGCUGAAAGACAGGUGACCAAAAUACCAGGAACACCAUGACCCUCUAUUAAAUUACAGUUGCCAGAAUAGAAAACUAGUUACGCCCCCUUCUUACCCUGCAUGCUGCUGCGCCUAUACUGCCGGCACAACCGUUACGUAGGACUCCUGCCAUACUGAUCGUGGUCCUCUGCGGGGCACGUGAUUUCUUUUUUGUGUGAGUUCUGCUUGCCUUAAAAUAACCAUUCUGUUUUCCCUACCAUGAGCACAGAGAAGAGAGGGCAAGGCCCAUGUCUAUGAGUAAAAAAUGUGUUGUUCUUAGUAGCUGUAUAUUAAAACAGUCCUACAAAACAUCUUUCUCUUCAAGUCACUCUUAUAAUUCUCAAAUUCCUGUCUAUGGAAAGUGUGAAAUCUUGCAUGAACGCGCAAGGAAACUGAUACCAUUUGAUAACUCUUCUUGCUGGCUUCUGAGAUCUUGUAGGACUGUAUUGGUGGUAGGGAGAUAGCAUCAGGAGAUAUUUUUGUAAGUGUGCGCACAGAAAAGAAGUCUGUCAGUGGCAUCUUUCCACCAAAGAAGUGCUCAAAUUACUUCACUGACAUCUGUCUUUAUUUUGUUUAACCACUCAGGUGGACCACAGAAAGUAGCUGAUGUCAGUGUAAUGUGAAUUCUUGUGGAGCUGAACAAAAAAUAAAAAAAAAAAGAAAAAAGAAAAGAAAAGGAAAGAAAGACUUCUGCUGCUCAAUUUGCUUUGAAAGAUACCUUAAAAAAAAUCUCUCUGUACCACAAGAGUUAUAAAUCAUUCUGUGCAUUAUACUGAAAGUACAUAAACCAAGACACAUGCAUCAAAUAUUUUUAGAGUAUUGGUCAACACAGUUAAAGGAAGUCCUAAACAGGAAAGCAACAUAUUAUAUUCACAAAACCCAUUAACAAAAUUUAGAUGUGUUCAUGUUGCUGGUUGCAUAAAUAAUUGUGUCCUUUGAACAGUCUCUGUAAUUCUUAAAAAGUAACUGAUGUACAUGUUUUUAUUUUUUAUGUAUUGUUUUAAUAUUUGUUUUGCUAUGCCUCUGGACAUGAAUCACUUGUGUGCCUCUGUAAAGUCUGCCUCUAAGUAGUGAUUGCUGAGGGUGUUUUUCCUUUCAUAUCUCAUUCUAUGACUGCUGAAAUAAGAAAAGGUCAAAGUUUUAAAGCUUACAUACAUCAAAAGUUUAAAAUGACGAUUUGCUAUUUUGAGGCCUGAUUUGUUUUUCCAUUGUGCCACUAUAAUCCUAGUGAUAGACUCUGGGCCAGUCUAGAUCCAUUUUUUAUAUCAAUUUUUCAGUUUAGAUGUUAUACAACUGUAAAUUACUAGCAUUGUGUUAUACAAUAUGCCUAACUUCAUUAGAUUACAAAACUUUUUAGGUAGCAGGAGGAUUUUCUUUCUGACUUGCGUAUUUUUAUUUGUUUUUAAAAGAAGAUAAAAGAGAAAUAGCUAAAAAAAUGCUUAUUAAAUAAAAUUCUAGAAUGUGCCUAAAUAUUCAUUAUAUAAGACUCCAGUAUGUCGGUAAUUAUCAGCUAAGAAGAUGUUGACAACAUGUUGUCCUAAACAGUGCAAAUAAUACUUAGGGUAAUAUAAGGGGCAAGAUGUAAGAAAGCAUCACUCCCAGGGAAGCAUCCUUAUAAUUAGGAUAGAAACAGGUCUUUUUACUUCUCUCUCAUGAAUCCUUUGAAUAUUGCAGAUUUUUUUCUAUGCUGUGAUCCAGAUUCAACAGGAAAAAUGGAGAAUAAAUAGUUCAACUCAGUCUCAGGCUCCAUAAUUCUCUGAGAUUCAGGUACUGCUAUAGGAGGUCUAAACAGAAGGAAAUCUUAUCUGGUCAAGUUUCCUAAUUGUGCAUAAAAGGAGGCAUCCUUCAUUAUCUGGUUGUGCUCAAAAAUUAAUUCAGUGCUCAGAGUCUCAGGGGAUGAAGAUGUCUGUUCUAUGUAGGUACAGGAGUCAGCUAACUGUUCAGACAAACAUCAUGGUUGAGUGUUCCCAAAGACAGUUGCUGUACCAUCAGUGAAAAGGGAAAGGCUUCCUCCUUAAGGGUUUUUAACUUCCUCAUGGAGGCACUUAACCCACUCACUGAUUGUAUGAGACUUGGGAUGCCUAAAGAACUACAUCUGAAUCAUCCUGCAGCUAUAAUAGUCUGAACAAGGCCCUUAAGAGUAGAUUGGUUUGCAGAAACAUUAAGCGUCAAUGAGCACACUCUGAUGGGAUCACGUUCUGCACUCACAGUAACGUGAAAAUGCAACUCCUGACUUGGUUUACAGAAUAUCAUGAACAUCUUGAAUACCGUGAGUAUAUUGAAUAUGCAAUUAAUAUUCAGUACUUUCAUUUGUUAUUCAUUGUGUCGAAAGCACUGGACUACAUGAUCAAAAUCAUACAUGAAGAGCUUUUACUUCAUGCCUUUAUGACUUAUUAAAAUCAUAGUUUACGUUGCAAUUCUCCUCUGGGAUAGUCACAUUUUUCCAAAGUGGGUAAAACCUAAGAAAUGGAAGUGUGUUUGGAUUACUAGUGCUUUUCAUGCCUCAAAACUGUAAAAAUCCUCAGUAUAUUAUAUAUUUACUUUCUUUACUGAUCAGGUCACAAAUGUAGUUUUGCAAGAUAAAGGUACUACAGAAGAUUUCAGAUGUAGCAAUACGUUUAACUUUUGGGGGCUACUUACCCAACAGGUCCUUCUCCCAACAUACAAAUCAACACCAGGAGACUUUUAAAGAAGAAACCACACGAUACUUAUGUAUGCGGUUCUACAGCAGAGUACGAGGAAGCAGAAGUCAAUACUCUUUUGGGGAAGGCCUCAGACUGCUAAUCCAAACCCUGUUUUCCCCAACACAUACGUGGCAUGGCAGCCACGUACGUGUUUGCAGGUGUUCACAUAUGUGCUCUUACUUCUUUUUGGUGACUCUCUUAUUCUGUAGCAAUUAGGCCUGCUGGAGCUUCUGCUGGUGCCUUGGGAUCACACUAUCCUGUUUUGGUUAUUCCACAAAAUAAAAAUUUCUUUCUUCAUUUCU
Aquila chrysaetos chrysaetos is the source of this 7004-nucleotide long non-coding RNA. RefSeq lists it as uncharacterized. NCBI's taxonomy places the organism in Eukaryota, Metazoa, Chordata, Aves, Accipitriformes, Accipitridae. The record is from RefSeq and is a predicted model, not a curated record. The transcript is spliced from 2 exons.